CGGCGGACGGGUGAGUAACACGUGGAUAACCUACCUAUAAGACUGGGAUAACUUCGGGAAACCGGAGCUAAUACCGGAUAAUAUUUUGAACCGCAUGGUUCAAAAGUGAAAGACGGUCUUGCUGUCACUUAUAGAUGGAUCCGCGCUGCAUUAACUAGUUGGUAAGGUAACGGCUUACCAAGGCAACGAUGCAUAGCCGACCUGAGAGGGUGAUCGGCCACACUGGAACUGAGACACGGUCCAG
Molecule: ribosomal RNA, 244 nt
Filed under: uncultured Staphylococcus sp.
Lineage: Bacteria; Bacillati; Bacillota; Bacilli; Caryophanales; Staphylococcaceae
Description: partial 16S ribosomal RNA
Rfam family: Bacterial small subunit ribosomal RNA
Source: RNAcentral